UACCAUGGCAACAAGGGGUAUUUGAAGAUGGGAAAGGCUAAAAAUAAGUACUACCUACUUUAUCAUUUUGCCAGCUUCUGUCCCACUUAAUCAUAGACCUCAAUACCUCAAUACACUUUGCAGGCGCAUAAAGAGGACUAACUGGUCAGUCAUGGUAAAAUACCUAUUUCAGAGGGAAAGGUGCUGGCCCAGCAGGAGACAAGGUUUGUCACCAUGGUAACCCUGCCACUAAUUCUGCACAUGAUUUGGGUCCCAGGCCUUCAAGGAACAGAACUUAGAACUCUAGCCCUGGUUUCUUGGGCUGGUGAGUUCUGGGGACAGAAACCUGCUCACCCGUUGAUAUGCAUUCUGGACUCUACAGCACACACACAGACUUGCCACUUCAUUGCUGCAGGCCCCGGCAUAGGGAAGAGAAUGCCAGAGAGGGACUGUUCCAGUUUCCCAAGGUUCCAGAUUCAGCUAAGCAGGCAUGGAAUUGCGAGUCCAGAGUUCUAGCCAGGGAUGAAAAGGAGGGGAUGGAUCUGAAGAGUAGUUCUCUAGUCCUCUGAUGAGGGAGGAGAGAAGGCUCAACUUUAAGAGCCCUCAGAAGAAAGAGGAGUGGAAAAGGAGCUGAAAAAUUCACCAGGAAUGUAAGACCAGAGGCUUGAGUUUUAUUCCCUGUGCCUCUGUUUAUUCUGCUCAAUCACUUCCCCCAUGGGAGUCUAUUCCUGGUGUCUCUGUAUUUCCUAUCUACUUAUAUCUGCAUAUGUUGUUUUCCCCAUAGAAUCCAAUCUCCCUGAAAGCAAGGAAUAUUUCCAUUUUUCUUGUCUUUGUAUGCCAACUCCAACACAAGGCUAUCCUAUGCACUUAGUAAGCACAGUGAAGGGCUCGUGGGUUGAUUUGUAAAAUAGGCUAGAGAAGUGUCUCUUUCCUAAGGGCCGGGGAAGCCAAUCAACCUAAGGUGUUUUGCCGCGUGCAAAGGUCACCUCCUUCUCCUUCAAUACUUGUCUGAGACCCAGGUGUUUGACGGCUCGGGGGAGCUGUGAUGUACAGUUGGUCAGAAGGGCUGGGUUUUAUGUCCUGCCUCUCCUUUCCAACUGUGUUACCUUUUUGAGCCACAAUUUCCCCAUCUGUGAGAUGGUGAUACUAAUAUGUCGGAUAUCGCGUCACCCUCAUAUGGAGUGUCCCGAGAAUCAAGUAAGAUCACGCGUGGAAAGCCAGCGCUCUGUACACGCAGAUCCUUGUCCUCAUUUUCCCAUUGGAUCUGAGAAUCUCAGGGUUGGAAGGAGUUCUAGGGCUGCGUUAUUUUGCACAGCCUGAGCCGGAAUCUCCUCUACACCACUGGGGACGUAAAGAGGUGCAGAAAGGAGAAGCUGUGUGUGUUCCAGCUUAAAGGGAAAGGGCGGUAGCGGAGAAAACGAAGUCUGUCCACUUCCCAAUUCUGUCUCCCGUAACAAGUAGAUUCCGAGACAGAAGACAGACAGAGGUGGGAAAGGGGAGGAGGAAAAGGGGAAGGAGGAAUAGUGGGAGGGGAAGAAAAGG
Molecule: non-coding RNA, 1521 nt
Organism: Phascolarctos cinereus (koala)
Lineage: Eukaryota; Metazoa; Chordata; Mammalia; Diprotodontia; Phascolarctidae
Source: RefSeq, a predicted model, not a curated record